CAGCGGCAGACGGGUGAGUAACACGUAGGUGAUCUACCCCAGAGACGGGGAUAACGGGUGGAAACAUCCGCUAAUACCGGAUAGGCUUGUUCGGUCAAAGGGACAAGGAAAGGCUCCGGCGCUCUGGGAGGAGCCUGCGGCCCAUCAGCUAGUUGGCGGGGUAACGGCCCACCAAGGCAAAGACGGGUAGGGGGUGUGAGAGCAUGUGCCCCCACAAUGGGACUGGAACACGGCCCAUACUCCUACGGGAGGCAGCAGCAGGGAAUAUUGCACAAUGGACGGAAGUCUGAUGCAGCGACGCCGCGUGGAUGAAGAAGGCCCUCGGGUUGUAAAAUCCUUUACAGGGGGAAGAGGAAGGACGGUACCCCUGGAACAAGUGUCGGCUAACUACGUGCCAGCAGCCGCGGUAAGACGUAGGACACCAAGCGUUAUCCGGAUUUACUGGGCGUAAAGCGUCUGCAGGCGGACAGGUAAGUUGGGCGUGAAAGCUCCGGGCCCAACCCGGAGAGGUCGUUCAAUACUGCGUGUCUAGAGGGUGUCAGAGGGGAGUGGAAUUUCCGGAGUAGCGGUAAAAAUGCGCAGAGAUCGGAAAGAACACCAAUGGCGAAGGCAGCUCCCUGGGGCAAACCUGACGCUAAGAGACGAAAG
Molecule: ribosomal RNA, 648 nt
Filed under: uncultured organism
Description: bacterial SSU rRNA
Rfam family: Bacterial small subunit ribosomal RNA
Source: RNAcentral